UGAGAAUACCCAGGAGUGAGGCAUCUCGC
RNAcentral lists this non-coding RNA (29 nucleotides) under Mus musculus (house mouse). Lineage: Eukaryota; Metazoa; Chordata; Mammalia; Rodentia; Muridae. The record is from RNAcentral.